This 312-nucleotide ribosomal RNA is filed under the name uncultured bacterium. Its description in RNAcentral is "bacterial SSU rRNA". It matches the Rfam family "Bacterial small subunit ribosomal RNA", at positions 29 to 353 of the family's 1533-position model. The record is from RNAcentral.
AACGAACGCUGGCGGCAGGCCUAACACAUGCAAGUCGAACGCCGUAGCAAUACGGAAUGGCAGACGGGUGAGUAACGCGUGGGAACAUACCCCUCGGUUCGGAAUAACUCAGGGAAACGUUGAGCUAAUACCGGAUACGUCCGAGGUUUUAAUUCGGCCUUGGAGAAAGAUUUAUCGCCGAAGGAUUGGCCCGCGUCUGAUUAGCUUGUUGGUGAGGUAAUGGCUCACCAAGGCGACGAUCAGAGCUGGUCUGAGAGGAUGAUCAGCCACAUUGGGACUGAGACACGGCCCAAACUCCUACGGGAGGCAGCA